UACGUAGGGUGCGAGCGUUAAUCGGAAUUACUGGGCGUAAAGCGUGCGCAGGCGGCUCUUCAAGUCAGAUGUGAAAGCCCCGGGCUUAACCUGGGAACUGCGUUUGAAACUGGAGGGCUAGAGUGUGGCAGAGGGAGGUGGAAUUCCACGUGUAGCAGUGAAAUGCGUAGAGAUGUGGAGGAACACCGAUGGCGAAGGCAGCCUCCUGGGUCAACACUGACGCUCAUGCACGAAAGCGUGGGGAGCAAACAGG
RNAcentral lists this ribosomal RNA (253 nucleotides) under uncultured bacterium. Its description in RNAcentral is "partial 16S ribosomal RNA". It matches the Rfam family "Bacterial small subunit ribosomal RNA", at positions 524 to 776 of the family's 1533-position model. The record is from RNAcentral.